GAGUUUGAUCCUGGCUCAGGAUGAACGCUGGCGGCGUGCUUAACACAUGCAAGUCGAACGAAGCACUUUAUUUGAUUUCCUUCGGGACUGAUUAUUUUGUGACUGAGUGGCGGACGGGUGAGUAACGCGUGGGUAACCUGCCCUGUACAGGGGGAUAACAGCUGGAAACGGCUGCUAAUACCGCAUAAGCGCACGAGGAGACAUCUCCUUGUGUGAAAAACUCCGGUGGUACAGGAUGGGCCCGCGUCUGAUUAGCUGGUUGGCAGGGUAACGGCCUACCAAGGCAACGAUCAGUAGCCGGUCUGAGAGGGUGAUCGGCCACAUUGGGACUGAGACACGGCCCAGACUCCUACGGGAGGCAGCAGUGGGGAAUAUUGCACAAUGGGGGAAACCCUGAUGCAGCAACGCCGCGUGAGCGAAGAAGUAUUUCGGUAUGUAAACUUCUAUCAGCAGGGAAGAAAAUGACGGUACCUGACUAAGAAGCCCCGGCUAACUACGUGCCAGCAGCCGCGGUAAUUC
Molecule: ribosomal RNA, 519 nt
Filed under: uncultured bacterium
Lineage: Bacteria
Description: bacterial SSU rRNA
Rfam family: Bacterial small subunit ribosomal RNA
Source: RNAcentral